GAUGAACGCUGGCGGCGCGCCUAACACAUGCAAGUCGAACGAUUGAAGCACCUUCGGGUGUGUAUAAAGUGGCGAACGGCUGAGUAACACGUGGGCAACCUGCCCCUCUCAUUGGGAUAGCCACGGGAAACCGUGGAUAAUACCGAAUACUUCGGGACUUCCGCAUGGAAGACUCGAGAAAGCUCCGGCGGAGAGGGAUGGGCCCGCGGCCUGUUAGCUUGUUGGUGGGGUAAUGGCCUACCAAGGCAAUGAUGGGUAGCUGGGUUGAGAGACCGACCAGCCAGAUUGGGACUGAGACACGGCCCAGACUCCUACGGGAGGCAGCAGUGCGGAAUCUUGCACAAUGGGCGAAAGCCUGAUGCAGCGACGCCGCGUGCGGGAUGAAGGCCUUCGGGUUGUAAACCGCUUUCAGCAGGGACGAGGCGAAAGUGACGGUACCUGCAGAAGAAGCCCCGGCUAACUACGUG
RNAcentral lists this ribosomal RNA (467 nucleotides) under uncultured bacterium. RNAcentral describes it as "partial 16S ribosomal RNA". It matches the Rfam family "Bacterial small subunit ribosomal RNA", at positions 28 to 507 of the family's 1533-position model. The record is from RNAcentral.